UCUCUACAAGGAAAAAAGAAACAUUGAUUUCACUUUUUCAUUCUCUUAAAAACAGGCUGUAACUGGUAUACGAAAAUAAUUAUUGUUUCCUUUUCAAAGGCAGUCGCAAAGCACAUUCAUUCUGUAAUCUAAACCUCCACUCUGUUUUAGUCUGUUGAAAGACUGCAACUUGUUAGGUUUGGUGGAAACAGAAAAAGAGAGGAAGGAAGGGUAUAGGAAAUGUUUUACCUACCUUGCUGCUAUUAAAUAAACCACUCCUGUUACCCAAGCUGUUUUGGACUUGGAAACAUACAUUAUUACUAUCUGUUAUUUACUGACGAUGUGAUCAGAGCUGCACAAGGCACAAGGCGAUACAAUCCCAGCUCUGAAUACCUUAGAAAAUUAAAUGAGAGGCAAAGAAGACAGGGUGCACUGAGAACCCCAGAAGAAAGGGAUCAUUUGAGUGGCUUCCUCUCCCUGGUGAUGUGGAUGCCAGCUGCUUUGGGAUGGGGAAGAGGAGGGGAAAGAAAAUGCCUUCAUAAAGGACAUUGGUCUACAUGUGCAAUACUCAGCAAUUAGAAUCCCCAUGUGUGUGAAUAUGGGCUAACACAUCAGCACAUUUCUAUUUUGAAAUGAAGAGCAGCAGCCUUGAGUUGGCACUGAAGAUGAAAAGAGAAUGAAGCUUUAUUCUGAACGAUGAUCUUGCAAUUGUGCUUCUGAAAGAGAAAGUGUUUCUGUUUGCAUGAUGUUUAGUGAAAGGGACUUUGUGGAGUUUUGUGGCUUCAUGGAGGCAUCCCAUAACCCCCCCACCCCAAAAGAUGAAACAUGACACGUUCUUUGUAAGGGAUCCAAGAAUCCUACUUCUAACUCAGAGAUUUCAUAUGUAUGUAAUCAACUUUUAUUGGUUCAGUGAGGAUGAAGCUUCCCCCUCCAAUCUGAGCACAAUACAAAGUUUGACAGUGUCAUUAAUAAAGGACUGUAUGGCUCAGGCAAACUGGGAAGUUUGUGUAAGUCCUUUUCUUGGUGCUUUCA
Trachemys scripta elegans is the source of this 1011-nucleotide long non-coding RNA. RefSeq lists it as uncharacterized. NCBI's taxonomy places the organism in Eukaryota, Metazoa, Chordata, Testudines, Emydidae. The transcript has 4 exons. The record is from RefSeq and is a predicted model, not a curated record.